CUGGAUACAGAGUGAACUGGCUGGCCCCGUCUGGAAGACUAGUGAUUUUGUUGUUGUCUUACUGCGCUCAACAACAAAUCCCAGUCUGCCGAAUGGUGCCAGCCAUUGCA
Molecule: microRNA precursor, 110 nt
Organism: Chlorocebus sabaeus (green monkey)
Lineage: Eukaryota; Metazoa; Chordata; Mammalia; Primates; Cercopithecidae
Source: Ensembl